This 83-nucleotide transfer RNA is filed under the name Crassvirales sp. RNAcentral's name for it is "tRNA-Met". It matches the Rfam family "tRNA". Rfam says of the family: Transfer RNA (tRNA) molecules are approximately 80 nucleotides in length. Their secondary structure includes four short double-helical elements and three loops (D, anti-codon, and T loops). Lineage: Duplodnaviria; Heunggongvirae; Uroviricota; Caudoviricetes; Crassvirales. The record is from RNAcentral.
UGCGGGGUGUCAGAAGUUGGUAUCUGGGGAGUCUCAUAAGCUCCUGCUUUUUAGCCUCGGGGGUUCGAGUCCCCCUCCCGCAA